RNAcentral lists this transfer RNA (77 nucleotides) under Silvibacterium sp. RNAcentral's name for it is "tRNA-Val". It matches the Rfam family "tRNA". From Rfam's summary of the family: Transfer RNA (tRNA) molecules are approximately 80 nucleotides in length. Their secondary structure includes four short double-helical elements and three loops (D, anti-codon, and T loops). Lineage: Bacteria; Pseudomonadati; Acidobacteriota; Terriglobia; Terriglobales; Acidobacteriaceae. The record is from RNAcentral. RNAcentral also lists the same sequence under 1 other name.
GGGCGGUUAGCUCAGCUGGUUAGAGCACCUGCCUUACAAGCAGGGGGUCGCAGGUUCGAAUCCUGCACUGCCCACCA